This 1123-nucleotide long non-coding RNA is filed under the name Pan troglodytes (chimpanzee). RNAcentral's name for it is "long non-coding RNA NONPTRT004439". Lineage: Eukaryota; Metazoa; Chordata; Mammalia; Primates; Hominidae. The record is from RNAcentral.
CUGCCCCUGCCAAGGGGUGCUGGCCACGCAGGAGGCUUAACCUGGCCGGCGCGGGAAUGGGGUGCAGAGAGCAAAGAAAUGUGGCUUUGAUCUUAUGGAUGCCUUACUUUUACAUUAUUUGUACAGUUCUUGCAGUGAGCUUUCCGGACCACUGUCUUGUAUGUUUCCUAAGAAAAGCAAAAAGGGAAGAGAUUGAAGAGAAAGUAGAUUUUCAACUACAAACUUUCAUCCAUUUGCUUUCAGCUUAAGCAAAUGUGCGCAAAGUUGUCAUGGAUUUUUGCAGUCAAUAAAAACCAAGCAAGAAGACUGAAUCCCAAGUCAUCUGGGGCAGAUAAGAAAAGGAACAAUUUGCUGAAACUCCCUCUGCUUGUAACACAACUGACUGAAAUCAGCCGGAAUCAAUAUGGCCAAAUGCAGUUUGCGCACAGCAAGCUUGCUGUUGUCACAGCCUGAAUUUCUACUGCAUGUUUCAUACGAACUCCCUCCAAAUUUGCACAUGGGACCUACCAGGAAGCAUGAAGAGAGAGCCAUGCAUGCCUGAAGACUUCCCAGAUGUUCCCUUUGCUUCCACCAAUCACCUGCUAAUCCCAGGAUCCAACCCUAAACCUUUUGUAAUAAAAUUACUGCCCUAAAGCCAGUACAAGAAGACAGAUUUGAACUGGACUUCUGUUUCCUCAGAAGUUAACUUGCAAUGUGAAGCUUUCCUUUUCUCAAAAACUUGGUGUCAUAGUGUUGGCUUCUAGUGCAGUGAGCCCCUUUUGCUGGAUAACACUACCUGGUAAUUUGACAUACUAGGUGGUUAGUAACUACUGACUGUCUCCAGGUUACAACACAGUUAUUACCUACUUGGGUGAAAAGAGAAGACAGGAAAUACAUUUUGGAGUUGGCUGGCAACCUGUUUACAAAGCGAUUUACAACAGUUCUUUAUUCUUAAGGGGCUAUUCUAAUAUAAGACCUCAGAGAAACAGUGCAGUGUGACAAAGGAGGAAUUUAUCAAAUGAGACAGAAAAAGCAUCAAGGCAAGCUGUGAAAUGGUGCGGUAGGAACCAAAUAGAGAGCCAAAGGAUCUCUCUGUCACUGCAGGCCCUUAGGGUCAUCAGCAGAGACAGCUCCAAGCAAUUCU